Poecilia latipinna (sailfin molly) is the source of this 433-nucleotide long non-coding RNA. RefSeq lists it as uncharacterized. NCBI's taxonomy places the organism in Eukaryota, Metazoa, Chordata, Actinopteri, Cyprinodontiformes, Poeciliidae. The record is from RefSeq and is a predicted model, not a curated record. The transcript is spliced from 2 exons.
UUUUGGACUUUGGUGGUUUCUUAGUUAAACAUGUUAGCAGAUUUUAUAACUCAUGGAAAAAGGAUGAAGGAGGCAGACAAAAGUUGAACUAUCAGUUCUGCAUCACUGAUCUUCUUCUUCUUCUCACCAACCUUGUGUCCACAUCUUCAUCUGAACGCACUGGGCGGAGACGAGGCGGCAUGCUUCACUGCCUUCUUUCCAACAUGUCAGGUCAAUAUAGGACCAUCUCAUAAUUCCAGACUCAUAAUUGCAACAGAGGAAGACCUGUGGCUCAAAUAACUGAUGAGAGAUUGCGAUGGAUUAUUAUCAGAACCCGACCGCAGAACCUUAAUACUCAAGGAGGGGAAACGUCUUAUGGAUUCUUCUGUUCUUUGAUUUCCAAAAACAGAAUGAACUACUUUCUUAUGUAAAUAAAAAUUAAAUGUAUUCGUUU